RNAcentral lists this long non-coding RNA (2447 nucleotides) under Homo sapiens (human). Its description in RNAcentral is "HSALNT0107872". Lineage: Eukaryota; Metazoa; Chordata; Mammalia; Primates; Hominidae. The record is from RNAcentral.
AAAUCGGUCAGUUUUCUAUCAUCAUUGAGAUGUUGGAACUCCAGGGAAGCUGUAAAAUUAGAAUUUUUACAAGCCUUAAGAAAUAUACUCACUCUGGUUGGGCUUGAAAGUGUAACAAGAGGUUAAAAUAGAAGUUCUAGCUGAAGCACAAAGAAAGUAGAAACAACACAUCAAAGUGAGGGAUUUAUAAAGCAGGAGACUGAAAACCAGCUGGUGACUCUUGAAUUCCUCACCCUUAUUGAGAGUAUAAAAGGCUUAUAGCCCUCACCCUUUCACCUCAAAUCAAGAGGGAAGGGUUUUAGAAACACAACUUGGAGAGCUUAAUAUGUAUCCCUGAAGUUUGAGGAAAGGGGACGUAGUGUACUGACUUCUGCCUGGAAAGUCUAACAGGUGGGAGAUUAAUUGACUGCAAUGAAGGAGAAAGCCAAUGACAGGUUGCUUCUUGACUGGAAUUGUUCAGCACUCCAGAGGCUGUCAGGGAAAGGAUGUGAGCAUGCUGCCUGGAAUCUGAUGUGGCUCAGCUGUAGGACAAAGAUAGUGUGUUUUCUUAAGUUCUGACCAAAUGAACCACCUUAAGAGACAAAGAUCACUCAGCAAGGAAAGCUGAAGAUGCUAUGAGAUGCCAGAGGUUGGGGAAGGAGCAAACAACCAGCUGGAAUGGAUAUGCCUUUUCUCAAAGAAAAUUGCAAGUGGAAGAAUUCCAGCCAUGGGGUCUCCAAAGCAUCCGUGAAACUGUUCCACAAGACAAGGAUGGAUGACUGAAUGCCAAACCCAGAGAGCAGUGAAGCUAAAUCAACUCAAUCAUUUCAGUGAAGAAAGAAAUCUCCUGUCCUUUCCUGUCCCUGAACUCCAUGAUGAAGGGCCAUGUGCUGUAGGUAGCAAAACAGGGGAGAAAGAAUUUCAGUUUUCCUUUUCCCUUGAAAUUUUCUAGCUAAAUCAGUCCGAAAUGUGGAAGGAAAAAGCAUGAAGUUUUUUAUUUUUAUUUUUUGAGACUGAGUCUUGCUCUGUUGCCCAGGCUGGAGUGCAGUGGUGUGGUCUUGGCUCACUGCAACCUCCUCUUCUCGAGUUCAAAUGAUUCUCCUGCCUCUGCCUCCCGAGUAGCUGGAAUUACAGCCGUGCACCACCAUGCCCAGCUAAUUUUUAUAUUUUUAGUAGAAACAGGUUUCACCAUGUUGGCCAGGCUGGUAAUGAACUCCUGACUUCAGGUGUCUGCCAGCCUUGGCCUCCCAAAGUGCUGGAAUUACAGGCAUGAGCCACCACACCUGGCCACAUGAAAGCAUGAAAUUUAAUGCAGAUAGAUUUACCUAUCAUAUAAAAAUGGAAAACCGAAUUACUAAGUGGAACUGAUAUUUUGUGAUCCAGGAAUGACCAUGUCUGAACUUUCAUUUGAGGGGAAAAAGGAUAAUUAACACCAUUGAACAAAUUUAAAGGGAGAAUGGAAGACAAAGUAAAGUUGUUUUAUGUUUACAUACAGCUGUGCUAUUAAGAAAAGCUACCGAUUUUUAUUUUUUGUCUCGUACAAAUUUUUCUCAUUAAAGUUAUACAACCAACAAAAAUAGAUUUGUAUCUUCUUUUCUACUAUGAGUAUUGAUUAUUUUUAUCUCAUUGCAUUUGCUUGGACCUUCUCAAGAAUAUGGCAAAUAAUAAUAGUUAUACUAGGCAUCCUUGUCAAGUUCUGAUUUUAAUUGAAGAGGUUUUAGUGUUUCACCACUAGGAAUACUAUGUGCUUUUGGUUUCAAACUAGGCUUUAUUAAAUUUUAGUAUUUUAUUCCAGUUUUUAGUUUCUGUUUUCUAAUUUUCUUAUAAACAAUAAAACAAUUAUGUCUGUUGAAUUUGAUUGGAUGUCUUAUUUGUAACUAUCUGAUGACAUUUUAGUAUUGAUUAAUCAAAAAAUAUUUUCCUUUAGUUUAUUUUUUGAUUUUGCAUUAUGUUGAUAAAUUUCCUAGUAUUGAAUAACCUUGGUAUUCUUAGAACAUUCCUAACUUAGUAAUAAUAUAUAUUUUGGUACAUUGUUUGAUUAUAUUUGCUAAUAUUUACCUUUUUCUCCCCCCUACAGGCAUUUAGUGAAAUUGGUCCAUAGUUUUAUUUUCUUCUGCUAAUGCUAUGCUGAGUUAAUAAAAUGAAUUGAGAAGCACUCACCUUUUUCUGUGGUCUGGAAUAAGUAACACUGAAAUAAUCUGUUCUUAAUACAUACGAUGAAAUACUUACAAAUGUGCAUUAUUGUGGUGACUUUUAAAAUAGUACAUGUUUAAUUACCUUUGAAGAUGCUAACGUAGCAAUUAAAAAUGUUUUUUCAUUUAUGAGUCAAUUUGAAUAAUUAUGGUUUUCUAGAAUAACAUUCAUUUUCUCCAAGUUUCAAAGUUUGUUUGCAAUGGACAUGCAUAUUUUAUUCUCUAAGAAAAAAAUUUCUCAUUUAUCUAUGAUUAUGCCACAUUCUCAUUUCUAAU